GGAGAGUUGUCAGAGUUGGUUUAUUGUGCUGGUCUUGAAAACCGGUGGUCCUAACAAGAUCCAAAGGUUCGAAUCCUUUACUCUCCG
This 87-nucleotide transfer RNA is filed under the name Crassvirales sp. RNAcentral describes it as "tRNA-Ser". It matches the Rfam family "tRNA". From Rfam's summary of the family: Transfer RNA (tRNA) molecules are approximately 80 nucleotides in length. Their secondary structure includes four short double-helical elements and three loops (D, anti-codon, and T loops). Further hydrogen bonds mediate the characteristic L-shaped molecular structure. tRNAs have two regions of fundamental functional importance: the anti-codon, which is responsible for specific mRNA codon recognition, and the 3' end, to which the tRNAs corresponding amino acid is attached (by aminoacyl-tRNA synthetases). tRNAs cope with the degeneracy of the genetic code in two manners: having more than one tRNA (with a specific anti-codon) for a particular amino acid; and 'wobble' base-pairing, i.e. permitting non-standard base-pairing at the 3rd anti-codon position. Lineage: Duplodnaviria; Heunggongvirae; Uroviricota; Caudoviricetes; Crassvirales. The record is from RNAcentral.